This 489-nucleotide unclassified non-coding RNA is filed under the name Hevea brasiliensis (rubber tree). Lineage: Eukaryota; Viridiplantae; Streptophyta; Magnoliopsida; Malpighiales; Euphorbiaceae. The record is from RNAcentral.
CUUGGAAUAAACCCGUCCACGGACUUUGAAAUGGAAAGAAUUAGAAACUUUGUUAAGGGAGCACACCCCAUGGACUUCUUUAUUGAUUUGAAUAAUGUUGACUCAAGAAAAAUUGAGUUGAGCAUCUUCACAGUUCACACUCAUUUGUUUCCACCAGAAUACAAGGACAAAUAAAAUUAAUGGAAAUAAUAGGAUGUAUAGGGUUAGAUAAUUCCCCCAUUUUAGCAGCCAUGGUCUAAGGCAAUACAACCAAGGCUCCAAUUUUAACCUUAUGUUACUCUUUUCCCAAUUCUGCAAAACACUUGAUGUCUUAUCCUCUACCUUUUGCAAGAACAUCAACUUCCUCCCCAUGGACUCUUCAUACAUGAAUUCUUCCAUCUCAUCCUCCACUUCUUCUGGCUCAUGAUAGAUUUCCUUUUGUUUUUCAAUCAAAUUGAUAGUUUUUCUCUUUGGACAUUCAUGUGACUUGUGCUUCUCAUUGCAUUUAUG